GUAAGAAGUGCGUUUCACCCUCUGCCAUGAUUAUGAAACCUCCCCAGCCAUGUGGAACUGUGGGGUCUCCCUAUGUUGCCCAGGCUGAACUCCAACUCCUGGGCUCAAGCAAUGCUCCCAUCUCAGUCUCCCAAAGUGCUGAGAUUACAGUCUCGCUCUGUUGCCCAGUCUGGAGUACAGGUAUGAUCUUGGCUUACUGCAAGCUCCGCCUCCCAGGUUCAAGCAAUUCUUCUGCCUCAGUCUCCCAAGCAGCUGGGAUUAUAGGCCCGAGAAGGCAAGGGAGGGAGCAGGAACCAGAACCAGAGGAGGUUUUGCAGGACUUGCCUAUAUCCAGGCGUCAGAGUGAGCCCAGGGAAGGUUGGCCAUGAUUUGGGGUCUUCAGAGAGAGCCAGAUGGAAAUAGGAGAGGAAGCUGCUGUCACAGGGGUCACACUUGGCUCACCAGAGAAAGUCGCUUGGCAUCAGCAGCUGGUAUGAUGGAUUUACCAUGCCUGCCUUGCCCACAAUGGAGUCCCAAAAGGUGGCCAUCAUCAAAUGACUGCACCCAUAGUCUUCUGUGCUUCACCCUCUUCUGUGGGCUUCCCUGGCCUAGCAUGCUCCCUACACCGCUGGACUCUUCUCCAUCUAAGUCAUGUCAUGGAAACCCCUCCAGAGCUGCAGACAGACAGAUCUGGCUCUGAGUCUCUCUACUAUCCCUUCUUAGAUGUGGGGCAGGAAACUAGCCUCUGAGAUUCUUUUUUUUUUUUUUUAACCUGUAAAGGAGGCUCUUACACUAAUUACCUGAACAAAUUUAUUGUGAGUUUCACAUGAGAUAAUGACUAAUAUUUUCAAAGCAUAA
Molecule: long non-coding RNA, 837 nt
Filed under: Homo sapiens (human)
Lineage: Eukaryota; Metazoa; Chordata; Mammalia; Primates; Hominidae
Description: long independently transcribed non-coding RNA 1169 (LINC01169)
Source: RNAcentral